RNAcentral lists this ribosomal RNA (494 nucleotides) under uncultured bacterium. RNAcentral's name for it is "partial 16S ribosomal RNA". It matches the Rfam family "Bacterial small subunit ribosomal RNA", at positions 28 to 507 of the family's 1533-position model. The record is from RNAcentral.
GACGAACGCUGGCGGCGUGCUUAACACAUGCAAGUCGAACGGUGAAGCGCCUUCCUUUUUGGUGGGUGUGGAUGAGUGGCGAACGGGUGAGUAACACGUGAGUAACCUGCCCCCUUCUUCUGGAUAACCGCAUGAAAGUGUGGCUAAUACGGGAUAUUCUGGGUCUGUCGCAUGAUGGGUCUGGGAAAGAUAUUGUUUCGGUGGGGGAUGGGCUCGCGGCCUAUCAGCUUGUUGGUGGGGUGAUGGCCUACCAAGGCGGUGACGGGUAGCCGGCCUGAGAGGGUGGACGGUCACACUGGGACUGAGACACGGCCCAGACUCCUACGGGAGGCAGCAGUGGGGAACAUUGCACAAUGGGCGCAAGCCUGAUGCAGCGACGCCGCGUGAGGGAUGGAGGCCUUCGGGUUGUGAACCUCUUUCGCCAGUGAAGCAGGCCUGCCUCGUUUGUGGGUGGGUUGACGGUAGCUGGAGAAGAAGCGCCGGCUAACUACGUG